Molecule: long non-coding RNA, 361 nt
Filed under: Ursus americanus (American black bear)
Lineage: Eukaryota; Metazoa; Chordata; Mammalia; Carnivora; Ursidae
Description: lncRNA (ENSUAMG00000004395.1)
Source: RNAcentral
CUCAGACCUCCCAGUUCCGAAUCCUGUUUCUUCCCAUCUAAUGACAGCCGCCCACGGUGUUCUUCUCCACUCCUCCCAGGCUUGCCGCCCCGACUCGAAGGCAUGCACAGGCCCACGGAUCUACCACACCUUGACCCCCAGUCUGCAGAGGCUGGAUACUUUUUCUUUGGACCAGUGGCAAGGUUGCCGGUUUCCCGUCUGCACCUCUUCUGAGCCAGUUACAGCAGGAACUCUAUAACUGUGCUCCGACGAGGAGUUUUGGUCGCCCAUCCCCUGUUACAGGUUGAAAUCUGCAUUUGUUGAGCUGUUUCUUGUGCAUGAGGUCAGGGAGGUGACCAUCCCAGAGGCAGGCUCCUGUGAC